AUUGAACGCUGGCGGCAGGCCUAACACAUGCAAGUCGAGCGAGCGGCGGACGGGUGAGUAAUGUAUGGGGACUGCCCGAUAGAGGGGGAUAACUACUGGAAACGGUAGCUAAUACCGCAUACUAUCGGAUAACCCAUAUGGGAUUAGCUAGUAGGUGAGGUAAUGGCUCACCUAGGCGACGAUCCCUAGCUGGUCUGAGAGGAUGAUCAGCCACACUGGGACUGAGACACGGCCCAGCGUCCGACGGAGGCAGCAGUGGGGAAUAUUGCACAGUGGGCGCGAGCCGGAUGCAGCCAUGCGGCGAGUAUGAAGAAGGCCCUAGGGUUGGAAAGUACUUUCAGGCGGGAGGCGUUGCCGACAGAAGAAGCACCGGCUAACUCCGUGCCAGCCGCCGCGGUAAUUC
RNAcentral lists this ribosomal RNA (403 nucleotides) under uncultured bacterium. RNAcentral's name for it is "partial 16S ribosomal RNA". It matches the Rfam family "Bacterial small subunit ribosomal RNA", at positions 29 to 526 of the family's 1533-position model. The record is from RNAcentral.